Molecule: ribosomal RNA, 497 nt
Filed under: uncultured bacterium
Lineage: Bacteria
Description: partial 16S ribosomal RNA
Rfam family: Bacterial small subunit ribosomal RNA
Source: RNAcentral
GAUGAACGCUGGCGGCGUGCCUAAUACAUGCCAGUCGAGCGAACAGACGAGGAGCUUGCUCCUCUGACGUUAGCGGCGGACGGGUGAGUAACACGUGGAUAACCUACCUAUAAGACUGGGAUAACUUCGGGAAACCGGAGCUAAUACCGGAUAAUAUAUUGAACCGCAUGGUUCAAUAGUGAAAGACGGUUUUGCUGUCACUUAUAGAUGGAUCCGCGCCGCAUUAGCUAGUUGGUAAGGUAACGGCUUACCAAGGCGACGAUGCGUAGCCGACCUGAGAGGGUGAUCGGCCACACUGGAACUGAGACACGGUCCAGACUCCUACGGGAGGCAGCAGUAGGGAAUCUUCCGCAAUGGGCGAAAGCCUGACGGAUCAACGCCGCGUGAGUGAUGAAGGUCUUCGGAUCGUAAAACUCUGUUAUUAGGGAAGAACAAAUGUGUAAGUAACUAUGCACGUCUUGACGGUACCUAAUCAGAAAGCCACGGCUAACUACGUG